Long non-coding RNA from Xiphophorus hellerii (green swordtail), 2121 nucleotides. RefSeq lists it as uncharacterized. The transcript has 2 exons. Lineage: Eukaryota; Metazoa; Chordata; Actinopteri; Cyprinodontiformes; Poeciliidae. The record is from RefSeq and is a predicted model, not a curated record.
GACCUGACCUGGCUCUUGUCCGCUUCAUAGUGGAGGAUCAUGACUAUACCUCUAGUAAUGACUUCUUGGGGCAGUUUACACUACCUUUCACCAGUCUUCGCACAGGUUAUCGCCAUGUGCGCCUGCUGAAGCUGGACGGCUCCAGCCUCUCUCCUGCCUCUCUCUUCAUCCAUGUUAAAAUCACUCCUGCCUAAUCAUCAACUGAACCCUCAACUCAAUCAUAGGUCAAGCCAUUAGCUGAGCAUGACCUCUUCACCCUAUUGGAAGUGGGAGACUUGAUAUUUGUGCCUGGAUAUAAUUACAGGAUCAGGAUCCUGACUGUCUCUUGUGAAUAAUCCAGGUGGAUCCUGUUUAUGGGCAUUUCUGUUGGGUCAGUUGAUUUCUGUUGACACUACGUUGGAAGGUUUUAAAGAAGCACGUGUUCAAAUGAAUGCCUGUAAAGAUCACAUUCAUUGUGGUUGGUGGAUACUUGAAGGCAGAUAUAUCUCAUAUGAUUUUUGUUUACACUGUUUUAUUCUAUAAGACAUUGAUCCAGUCUAGAUGUUUUGAAAUAUGAAGUAUUUUUAUCUAAUCUCAAUAAGACUUGAAAAUUGUUUACUGUGUUAAUUUAAUAACACCAACUUUUCUGGGGUAGAUAUUUAUCUAAAACUAUAAGUUGUCUUUUUUCUAAUGGCUCUAGAUGAGUUUUAUUUGGCUAACUUGUUCGGUUGUGAAGGUUGCAGACCUCUGAUCUAAAUGAACCUAGGAUCAAUAUCAGGUUUUCUUCUUUCUAACCUUGUGUCCAAUCAUAUUUUAUUCACUCAUUCUUGAAGCUGAUUAACUUGAUUUAUUUUCUUCAGGUUUGUUUUUUGCCUAAAAUAUUUUCAUUUAGCCCUAAAGUGGUUAUGCUUUAUUUAUUUGCAGUUAAUCCUGUUUGAUUUUCCCAUGAAAUUCUUCUUGUAGAAAUGAGCAGCAUGCCACUUGGCUGUUAGCACUUUAUCCUGGCGAACUAGUAUUUUUUUCUAUCAGACAUGGAAGUUAUCACAGGCUAUUGUGCUAAUGUUAUGUGUAUUUUGUGCUUAUUCAUGUUUUAUACAUAAGAAGUACUAUGAAUAUAUCUGUUCUUUAAGUCAUGUGAUUUAAAGAAGGUGACGGAAGAAACAUCGUUUGGUCUGCUGUAAACCUGCGUGCGAAUGUUUCAACAAACUUUCUAUCUUAUGAAUCCUGUCCUUCGUUGUCAAUAUUUUUAUUUGACCAUUUCUGUGUUUGAUUACACAAAAUGAAAGACAUGCACACAUAAUGAAUGAGUUGAUCAGAUCUUUGCCCUUGUUUUUUUUUUGUCAGAUUUUUCCUUUGAGAACAAGACUUUCCAUUCAUGUUUGAGAUUGGUCACAUUCGAUAUUUCUUUAGGUUUUCUUAAGAUCCUUUAAAAUAUUUUCAUUGGCUACUUUCUCACUUGUUUUGAAGCAAAGACCUUACCAAGUUUUAGAGGAACAAUUUAUAUUUUUGAUUGUUUCAAACUUUGUAACUCUGACAGAAAUCGUCAAGAGGAAAGGCUCCUAAAGCAUCACCCGCAUGUCUUUUGGAACGUUUUAGAAAAACUGUUUUUAUCAGUAUCUAGUGUUUUACCAGUAAACUUCCAGAAAUACAUUUCCCAUUUCUGUCAGAAGUUACUCUGUUGGAAACCUGUAUUUUAGCACCAGCAAGGUUAUACCAAAAAUGAUAAUAGCUGAGUUUUAACUGGUAAUCUGAAGAAAAACAAAUUAACUUUCUGAAAACCUAAAGACUUACUGAACACUGUUUUAUACCACAUUACAAGAAAUAUUGACUUAUUGUAAGCAAAUAGGAGAACUACUUGGAUCACUGUAAACAGGAACACUGUAAUCUGUAAAAGACCAAAGUAAGAUGGAAUAAAACAAGCUGUAAUUUAUUGCUGUGCGUAAUAUUUGAUAUUAGAUCAGUUACUUCUGUUCCUCCACAGACCUUUGUCCACAAAGAUCAGUAAGUCAUCGCUGCUACAGCUUACACUUUUAAGCAGCUGUUUGUUUAUACUCUCCAGAAUGUCAGAAUUUACACAGUUAAUGUAGAUAACAACAAAUAAGCAUGAGUACAAAUAAAGCAAGAUCAUAAACCUUUGUUAAC